UACGGAGGGUGCGAGCGUUAAUCGGAAUUACUGGGCGUAAAGCGCACGUAGGCGGUUGGGUAAGUCGGAUGUGAAAGCCCUGGGCUUAACCUGGGAACUGCAUUCGAUACUGCCCGGCUAGGGUAUGGGAGAGGGAAGCGGAAUUUCCGGUGUAGCGGUGAAAUGCGUAGAUAUCGGAAGGAACACCAAUGGCGAAGGCAGCUUCCGGGCCCAAUACUGACGGUCAGGUGCGGAAGCGUGGGGAUCAAACAGG
This 253-nucleotide ribosomal RNA is filed under the name uncultured bacterium. RNAcentral describes it as "partial 16S ribosomal RNA". It matches the Rfam family "Bacterial small subunit ribosomal RNA", at positions 524 to 776 of the family's 1533-position model. The record is from RNAcentral.